RNAcentral lists this ribosomal RNA (113 nucleotides) under Xylaria papulis. Its description in RNAcentral is "partial 28S ribosomal RNA". Lineage: Eukaryota; Fungi; Ascomycota; Sordariomycetes; Xylariales; Xylariaceae. The record is from RNAcentral.
AUCAGGUAGGAAUACCCGCUGAACUUAAGCAUAUCAAUAAGCGGGAGGAAAUUUCCCUUGUGUUUUUUUGCGUGCUUUUGAAUUUUACUCCUUUGCUGGCUUUAAUUAACUUG